RNAcentral lists this ribosomal RNA (1048 nucleotides) under Anthopleura elegantissima (clonal anemone). RNAcentral's name for it is "bacterial LSU rRNA". It matches the Rfam family "Bacterial large subunit ribosomal RNA", at positions 1885 to 2925 of the family's 2925-position model. The record is from RNAcentral. Lineage: Eukaryota; Metazoa; Cnidaria; Anthozoa; Actiniaria; Actiniidae.
ACCGGUUAGUAGUCUUUGACUGCGAAGCUGAGAAUUUAAGCCCCAGUAAACGGCGGUGGUAACUAUAACCAUCCUAAGGUAGCGAAAUUCCUUGUCGGGUAAGUUCCGACCUGCACGAAUGGAGUAACGAUUUCCCUACUGUCUCCACCAUGAACUCGGUGAAAUUGCAUUACGAGUAAAGAUGCUCGUUACGCGCAGCAGGACGGAAAGACCCCGGGACCUUUACUAUAGUUUGGUAUUGGUGAUUGGGACGGUUUGUGUAGGAUAGGUGGGAGACGUUGAUGCGGCCACGCUAGUGGUGGUGGAGUCGUUGGUGAAAUACCACUCUGAUUGUUCUGGUUAUCUCACUGUGGACCGUGAUCCGGUUCAAGGACAGUGCCUGAUGGGUAGUUUGACUGGGGCGGUCGCCUCCUAAAGGGUAACGGAGGCGCCCAAAGGUUCCCUCAUCCUGGUUGGUAAUCAGGUGGUGAGUGUAAGUGCACAAGGGGGCUUGACUGUGAGACUGACAGGUCGAGCAGGGACGAAAGUCGGGACUAGUGAUCUGACGGUGGCUUGUGGAUGCGCCGUCACUCAACGGAUAAAAGGUACCCCGGGGAUAACAGGCUGAUCUUGCCCGAGCGCUCAUAGCGACGGCAUGGUUUGGCACCUCGAUGUCGGCUCGUCGCAUCCUGGGGCUGUAGUCGGUCCCAAGGGUUGGGCUGUUCGCCCAUUAAAGCGGCACGCGAGCUGGGUUCAGAACGUCGUGAGACAGUUCGGUCCCUAUCCGUCGCGGGCGUAGGAAAUUUGAGAGGAUCUGCUCCUAGUACGAGAGGACCAGAGUGGACUUACCGCUGGUGUACCAGUUGUCUUGCCAAAGGCAUCGCUGGGUAGCUAUGUAGGGAAGGGAUAAACGCUGAAAGCAUCUAAGUGUGAAACCCACCUCAAGAUGAGAUUUCCCAUGAUUUUAUAUCAGUAAGAGCCCUGAGAGAUGAUCAGGUAGAUAGGUUAGAAGUGGAAGUGUGGCGACACAUGUAGCGGACUAAUACUAAUAGCUCGAGGACUUAUCCAA